This 373-nucleotide ribosomal RNA is filed under the name uncultured organism. RNAcentral's name for it is "partial 16S ribosomal RNA". It matches the Rfam family "Bacterial small subunit ribosomal RNA", at positions 527 to 896 of the family's 1533-position model. The record is from RNAcentral.
GUAGGUGGCAAGUGUUGUCCGGAAUUAUUGGGCGUAAAGCGCGCGCAGGUGGUUCUUUAAGUCUGAUGUGAAAGCCCCCGGCUCAACCGGGGAGGGUCAUUGGAAACUGGGGAACUUGAGUGCAGGAGAGGAAAGUGGAAUUCCACGUGUAGCGGUGAAAUGCGUAGAUAUGUGGAGGAACACCAGUGGCGAAGGCGACUUUCUGGCCUGUAACUGACACUGAGGCGCGAAAGCGUGGGGAGCAAACAGGGAUUAGAUACCCUGGUAGUCCACGCCGUAAACGAUGAGUGCUAAGUGUUGGGGGGGUUUCCGCCCCCUCAGUGCUGCAGCUAACGCAUUAAGCACUCCGCCUGGGAGUACGGUCGCAGGACUG